UAAUACGAAGGGGGCAAGCGUUGUUCGGAUUUACUGGGCGUAAAGGGCGCGUAGGCGGAUGCGUAAGUCAGAGGUGAAAGCCCUGGGCUCAACCCGGGAAUUGCCUUUGAGACUGCGUGUCUUGAGUAUGGGAGAGGGUGGCGGAAUACCCAGUGUAGAGGUGAAAUUCGUAGAUAUUGGGUAGAACACCAGUGGCGAAGGCGGCCACCUGGCCCAUAACUGACGCUGAGGCGCGAAAGCGUGGGGAGCAAACAGG
Molecule: ribosomal RNA, 256 nt
Filed under: uncultured archaeon
Lineage: Archaea
Description: partial 16S ribosomal RNA
Rfam family: Bacterial small subunit ribosomal RNA
Source: RNAcentral